RNAcentral lists this ribosomal RNA (869 nucleotides) under uncultured bacterium. RNAcentral describes it as "bacterial SSU rRNA". It matches the Rfam family "Bacterial small subunit ribosomal RNA", at positions 28 to 896 of the family's 1533-position model. The record is from RNAcentral.
GAUGAACGCUAGCGGGAGGCCUAAUACAUGCAAGUCGAACGGUAACAGGGUAGCAAUACUGCUGACGAGUGGCGCACGGGUGAGUAACACGUACACAACCUGCCUUAUACUGGAGCAUAGCCUUGGGAAACUAAGAUUAAUUCUCCAUAACAUUAUGAAACGGCAUCGUUUUAUAAUUAAAAUUCCGAUGGUAUAAGAUGGGUGUGCGUCUGAUUAGCUAGUUGGCGGGGUAACAGCCCACCAAGGCAACGAUCAGUAGCUGGUCUGAGAGGAUGAUCAGCCACACGGGCACUGAGACACGGGCCCGACUCCUACGGGAGGCAGCAGUAGGGAAUAUUGGACAAUGGGCGCAAGCCUGAUCCAGCCAUCCCGCGUGAAGGAUUAAGGCCCUAUGGGUUGUAAACUUCUUUUCUCUGGGAAUAAAAAGUGGAGUUCAUCUCUGCCUUGAAGGUACCAGAGGAAUAAGCACCGGCUAACUCCGUGCCAGCAGCCGCGGUAAUACGGAGGGUGCAAGCGUUAUCCGGAUUCACUGGGUUUAAAGGGUGCGUAGGUGGCUUUGUAAGUCAGUGGUGAAAGCCCGGAGCUCAACUCCGGAACUGCCAUUGAUACUGCUUAGCUUGAAUCAGAUUGAGGUGGAUGGAAUAUUACAUGUAGCGGUGAAAUGCUUAGAUAUGUAAUAGAACACCGAUUGCGAAGGCAGUUCACUAAGUCUGUAUUGACACUGAGGCACGAAAGCGUGGGGAUCAAACAGGAUUAGAUACCCUGGUAGUCCACGCCCUAAACGAUGUAAACUCGACAUUAGCGAUAUACAGUUAGUGUCCAAGCGAAAGCAUUAAGUUUACCACCUGGGAAGUACGACCGCAAGGUUG